Molecule: ribosomal RNA, 1484 nt
Filed under: uncultured bacterium
Lineage: Bacteria
Description: bacterial SSU rRNA
Rfam family: Bacterial small subunit ribosomal RNA
Source: RNAcentral
AACGAACGCUGGCGGCAUGGUUAAGGCAUGCAAGUCGAACGCGAAAGUUUUUUUCGAAAGACGAGUAGAGUGGCGAAAGGGCGAGUAAUGCAUGGGUAACGUACCCUGGGCACGAGGAUAGCCCCGAGAAAUCGGGGGUAAUACUCGAUGAGACCACGGUGUCAUAUGGCACAGUGAUCAAAGGCGGGGAUCCCUUCGGGGACCUGUCGGCCUGGGAGCGGCCCAUGUCCUAUCAGCUUGUUGGUGAGGUAACGGCUCACCAAAGCUUCGACGGGUAGCGGGACUGAGAGGUUGGCCCGCCGCAUUGGGACUGAGACACUGCCCAGACUCCUACGGGAGGCUGCAGCACCGAAUAUUGUGCAAUGGGCGCAAGCCUGACACAGCAAUGCCGCGUGCGGGAGGAAGUCCUUCGGGAUGUAAACCGCUGUCAGGGGUCACCAAGCAAUGGGGUCUAAUAUACCCCGGCGUUGAGGAGCCCCAGAGGAAGCCACGGCUAACUUCGUGCCAGCAGCCGCGGUAANACGAAGGUGGCGAGCGUUGUUCGGAAUCACUGGGCUUAAAGAGCACGUAGGCGGACCGUCAAGCGUCUUGUGAAAUCCCUCGGCUUAACCGAGGAACUGCUUGGCGAACUGGCGGUCUUGAGGCAGGCAUGGGUGUGUGGAACUCUUGGUGGAGCGGUGGAAUGCGUAGAUAUCAAGAGGAACGCCGGAGGUGAAGACGACGCACUGGGCCUGCUCUGACGCUGAGGUGCGAAAGCCAGGGGAGCGAACGGGAUUAGAUACCCCGGUAGUCCUGGCCCUAAACGAUGUCCACUAGGUCGACGGUUCUCUGACGGAUUAUCGGCCGAAACUAAAGCGAUAGGUGGACCGCCUGGGGAGUACGGUCGCAAGGCUAAAACUCAAAGGAAUUGACGGGUGCUCACACAAGCGGUGGAGCAUGCUGCUUAAUUCGAUGCAACGCGAAGAACCUUAUCCUGGGCUUGACAUGUACGAAUGCCUAUCCUGAAAGGGAGUCGGCUGCCCUUCGGGGUGAAACGUACACAGGUGCUGCAUGGCUGUCGUCAGCUCGUGUCGUGAGAUGUUGGGUUAAGUCCCGUAACGAGCGAAACCCUUGUCGCUAGUUGCCAGCGUGUCUUCGGAUGACGGGGACUCUAGCGAGACUGCCGGUGUCAAACCGGAGGAAGGUGGGGAUGACGCCAAGUCCUCAUGGCCUUUAUGCCCAGGGCUGCAAGCGUGCUACAAUGGCCGGGCCAAACCGACGCGAGACCGCGAGGUGGAGCAAAUCGGUAAAAACCGGCCUCAGUUCGGAUUGGAGUCUGCAACUCGACUCCAUGAAGUUGGAAUCGCUAGUAAUCGCGUAUCAGCUACGACGCGGUGAAUGUGUUCCUGAGCAUUGUACACACCGCCCGUCAAGUCAUGGAAGCCGGGAGCACCCGAAGUCGCCAUAUUUCAAUGGUGCCGAAGGUGAGUUCGGUAACUGGGACU